UACAGAGGGGCAAGCGUUAUCGGAAUUAUUGGGCGUAAAGGGCGCGUAGGCGGCGAUUCAAGUGACGGGAUGAAAUCCCUCGGCUUAACCGGAGGAACUGCCUGUCAGACUGGAUUGCUUGAGUCCGGGAGAGGCGAGUGGAAUUCCCAGUGUAGCGGUGAAAAUGCGUGGAUAUUGGGAGGAACACCAGUGGCGAAGGCG
RNAcentral lists this ribosomal RNA (201 nucleotides) under uncultured bacterium. RNAcentral describes it as "partial 16S ribosomal RNA". It matches the Rfam family "Bacterial small subunit ribosomal RNA", at positions 524 to 723 of the family's 1533-position model. The record is from RNAcentral.